UAUUUUUUAUUUACCAUGUUCAUUGAAGGUUUUGAACAAAUUUCAUUUGACAACUACACAAACACAGACAACUACACAGCCGCCGACAACAACUACUACACAAUCUUCGACAACAACACAACCACCGACAUCUACACGACAAUCAACAUCUACACAACCAUCGACAACUACACAACCACCGACAACUACACAACCACCGACAUCUACACAACCACCGACAAUUACACAGCCAACGACAACAACUACUACUUCACAAACACCGACAACAACACAACCACCGACAAUUACACAAAAUACAACAUCUACACAACCAACGACAACUACACAACAAAUACCAAGUACACAACCAAUGACAACAACCACUACACAACCAACGACAUCUACACAACCACCUACAACAACCACUACACUACCAACGACAACUACACAACCACCUUCAACGACAACUUCACAACCAACGUCAUCUACACCAAUAACAAACACACAAACAACUGCGAAACACACAUCAAGACAAACAACACUUACACUGAACGUUACAGUACGGACUUCCAAUCCAGUUACUCAUCCUAGAUCCACAACCACAUCUGCUCCAGUGACAACCCCAAUAGCUAUCGCUUCCACCACAUUGAAUGAAUUUGGUUGUCCUGCUUUCCCAUCGGACUGCCCAUCGUCCUGCAGUGAUCUCGAUGCCAACUUCUGUCCAAUUUGUAAUUGUGCUGCGGGUUCGGUGACGACCACGCCCAAGCCCACGGGCUGUCCCCAGGUACAGUGUCUGCUGGACUGCGGGGAUCCGCCCAAGUUUGUCAAGGAUUCCCAGGGCUGCGACCUGUGUCAGUGCGACUUUGGACGAUAGAAGACCUCGGGAUUGCUUUAGCAUGCAUACAUACACAUUUCAUUUCCUGUGGUUGACUAUUACAGAAACGUUUGCGAUAAACAUUUUAUAUUCGUGUUUUAUUUGACUGUUAAAGAAACAUUUGCGAUUUACAACACUUCAUGAAAUGACAUUGUGUUAGUGUUAUGAAAAAAAGGACCAUAGGUCAAUGUUUCCAAUCGGCGUUCUGUUUGAAUUCGAAGCAAGAUAUGUGAAAUAGAAUGAUAAAUAAGAAUGUGCAACGUAUUGAUGUAAUAAAACUUUACUGCCUU
Dreissena polymorpha is the source of this 1143-nucleotide RNA transcript. RefSeq lists it as uncharacterized. Lineage: Eukaryota; Metazoa; Mollusca; Bivalvia; Myida; Dreissenidae. The record is from RefSeq and is a predicted model, not a curated record. The transcript is spliced from 3 exons.